Molecule: ribosomal RNA, 434 nt
Filed under: uncultured bacterium
Lineage: Bacteria
Description: partial 16S ribosomal RNA
Rfam family: Bacterial small subunit ribosomal RNA
Source: RNAcentral
AGCGAACGCUGGCGGCAGGCCUAACACAUGCAAGUCGAACGAACCUUUCGGGGUUAGUGGCGGCCGGGUGAGUAACACGUGGGAACGUGCCUUUAGGUUCGGCAUAACUCAGGGAAACUUGUGCUAAUACCGAAUGUGCCCUUCGGGGGAAAGAUUAAUCGCCUUUAGAGCGGCCCGCGUCUGAUUAGCUAGUUGGUUGAGGUAAUGGCUCACCAAGGCGACGAUCAGUAGCUGGUCUGAGAGGAUGAUCAGCCACAUUGGGACUGAGACACGGCCCAAACUCCUACGGGAGGCAGCAGUGGGGAAUCUUGCGCAAUGGGCGAAAGCCUGACGCAGCCAUGCCGCGUGAAUGAUGAAGGUCUUAGGAUUGUAAAAUUCUUUCACCGGGGACGAUAAUGACGGUACCCGGAGAAGAAGCCCCGGCUAACUUCGUG